RNA transcript from Prunus avium (sweet cherry), 3021 nucleotides. It is a transcript of the gene named DNAse I-like superfamily protein, with no coding region annotated. The record is from RefSeq and is a predicted model, not a curated record. NCBI's taxonomy places the organism in Eukaryota, Viridiplantae, Streptophyta, Magnoliopsida, Rosales, Rosaceae.
UGACUAGUGUGUACCGGUCCUUGCCACCCGUGAAGUCACACAGCCGCUUCCUCUAGAGCAAAUGAGGCGUGCUCCUCCUCCUCCUUCCCUCCAAUUCCUCGCCGCAGCAGCCACCGACGCAACCACCGCCAUGUCUUCGCGCCCUCCUUACCGAGGUGGUCGAAACCAAUGGCCGAGAGCCUCCUCCUCGAACCGCCCCUACUCGGGCGGCAGAGGCCCGUACGUCACCGGAGAUUCGCAUAUCCGAUCGGUCCGCGACGCCAAUCUAGAGUUCCGGCGAGGCGACGCCGGCACCGGACCCUUACCCAACCAAACCGCCUUUCGUGAGCAUCCGCCGCCGCCGCCUUUUCAGCACAACCAUCACUUCCCUCAAUCUCGGCCGUUCGAUACAAACCAACCGUACCGGCCGAACCAGCAAUUCCGGCCUCCUCAGCAGUUUCAGCCUCGGCAGCAAUUCCGGCCUCGGCCGAAGCCCUUGGAUUAUCGCAACUGGGAGUUUGCGAAAACGACGCCGCCCCCUACUUGUGAUAGGUUUACGGUGCUAUCUUAUAACAUGCUGGCUGAUUCCUUGGCCCAUGAGCACCGGAGCAAGCUUUACUUUCACAUACCUUAUCAUAUGAUGGACUGGCAAUGGAGAAAGAAUAAUUUGAUUUUUGAGCUUGGGCUGUGGUCAGCUGACAUAAUGUGCUUUCAGGAGGUUGAUAAAUUUCAGGACAUCGAGGAGGAGUUGAAGCUUAAGGGGUACAAUGGCAUUUGGAAGAUGCGGACUGGCAAUCCAGUUGAUGGCUGUGCAAUUUUUUGGCGAUCCUCAAGAUUCAAGUUGAUUCAUGAGGAAUGCAUUGAGUUCAGUAAGCUUGGACUUCGGGAUAAUGUUGCUCAGAUAUGUGUACUGGAGUCAAUAUGCCAGACCAAAAAUCUUGCAGUUCUACCAACAAGCUCAACAGGUUCUAAUAAAGUGGUCAUUUGCAACAUUCACGUGCUUUACAAUCCUAAACGAGGAGAAAUUAAGCUUGGCCAGGUCAGGGUGCUCUUGGAUAGGGCUCAUGCCAUUUCCAAAAUCUGGAAUGAUGCUCCAAUUGUUCUUUGUGGGGAUUUCAAUUGUACGCCAAAGAGUGCGUUAUACAACUUUAUUUCAGAACAGAAGUUAGAUUUGUCUGGAGUUGACAGAGAUAAAGUAUCUGGACAAGCUUCAGCUCAAAUUUAUUCACCAAGGUCAUAUAAUCGUAAUUAUGGGGCUCAACCUGGCAAUCAUUUUGUUCAAGGUCCAUCAGUGGUAGACGGGAGGGAAGGUGGAAUGAAGCCGAGUGAUUCACCAUUGGAUAUUCAGAACCUAAACAAUCCAGAAAGUAGUGUGGAGAAUGUUCCAUUAACAAACAAUUUGUCUCAGCCUCAACCUACUAAUACCCUCAAUUGGUUUGAUAAAUCUUGCACCAAUGUUGAUUCUCAAAAAGAGGAUGGUGCCCAAGAUGUUGAAGUUAACAAAGAAUCUAAGCAGAAUGCUGUAGAUGUCUCUACGGUUGAAUCAGCUUUCCAUGUUCCAGGUGAUGGCUUAAAGGAUGAAGCAAGUACUUCUUACAGUGAAGGUGGCUUUCCUGUAGCUAAGUUGACUGAUCCUGAACACGCUUUCUCUAAUGUGACUGAGACUGGAUACAAAGAAAAAGUGGAUUUCACCUCUACUUCAAAUCAUGGAUUACCAAGUGAACAUUCGGACUCAAAUAUUUGUGUAGAAAAAGAAAGCUUGAACUGUGAUAUCCAUAAACAUCCCUCUACAAGGGACAUUGAUUCUAUUAGGGAAGGGAUUGGUCCAGAUUAUGUGGAUCCUCUCCAGUCAGAAAUUCCUUUGUCUAAGCUAUCCUGCCAGACUUCCAUUGCUGAUGCUAUCGAAGUCUCUUCAUUGGGGAACUUAGGAAAUUUGUCUUCUAAACCAAUUUCUUGUGUCGAGAACGAUAGCCGUUCAGUCCCAGAGCAAGUCGACAUAUCAUGUGCACCUACUAGUGUUGACCUUGAGUUGCAGAAAAAUCUAGAAAAUUUAUCUCUUACUGAGUUAGAUGAAGCCAUUCCAGAAGGCGGAAAUACAGCUGAAGAUGAUAAUACAUUUAUAUCUGCAUUACACAACACAGAAGAUGCCUUUCCAUCUGAUUUUUCUGUUUCUCCCAACUCAGCGUUGUCUGCAUCAACCAAUGCAGUUGAGGAUGGUUUAUCUCCAGGAUUGGAUUCAGAGACUGUUUAUGUGGAGAGAACUCCUUAUGAUCCCUCACUAUGGACUCCAAUGGAAAUAGAAGCUGCUACAGGCAAUUCAGAAUGCACUCUUUUAGAACAUCCCCUAAAGCUUAGGAGCACAUAUACUGAAGUUGAGGAUUGUGCUGGGGCCAGAGAGUCAAAUGGAGAGCCCCUGGUUACCAGUUAUAACAGAUGUUUCUUGGGCACAGUUGAUUACAUCUGGCGCUCCGAAGGUCUGCAGACUGUAAGGGUGCUUGCUCCUAUUCCAAAGCAUGCUAUGCAACGGACUUCAGGGUUCCCAACCAAGAAAUGGGGUAGUGAUCAUAUUGCCUUGGCUUCUGAGUUGGCGUUCGUGAACAGUUUUGACCAAUCAGAACAGCAACACAGAAGUCCGCACCAGUAGUCAUUAUUGACAUUUGAGGAUUGCAUUCGGAGAAGUUGCGGGAUUGACUGUCAUCUCCGUCAAAUUUUUUCAGCGUCUAGUUUCACCUCUUCCCACAUGUUUUAGGUUGUGGGAAAAACUCAGUCACAGGUUCUCUUCCAAAAAUUUGAGGUCUCAAGCUUCUUCUACACAGUGCAUGAAAUCAACCGCGAUGGAAACCACAUAAGAGCACGCCCUUAGGCAUUCCACCAGUGGCUUGAGACAAGCACUGCAGCAGCCAUUAUUGUCUUCAACAGGAAAGGGUUGUGCAGCUGUUGGGCCCGAUUCAGACCCCUGCCUGAUCAAUGAACACCACCAUCCAUAAAAAGUUUGUACUAACAAACAUAAUCAUAUAAUUAAUUAACAUGCAGUUUGUUUUU